Molecule: ribosomal RNA, 153 nt
Filed under: Avicennia germinans (black mangrove)
Lineage: Eukaryota; Viridiplantae; Streptophyta; Magnoliopsida; Lamiales; Acanthaceae
Description: 5.8S ribosomal RNA
Rfam family: 5.8S ribosomal RNA
About the family: 5.8S ribosomal RNA (5.8S rRNA) is a component of the large subunit of the eukaryotic ribosome.
Source: RNAcentral
UCGGCAACGGAUAUCUCGGCUCUCGCAUCGAUGAAGAACGUAGCGAAAUGCGAUACUUGGUGUGAAUUGCAGAAUCCCGUGAACCAUCGAGUCUUUGAACGCAAGUUGCGCCCGAAGCCAUCAGGUCAGGGCACGUCUGCCUGGGCGUCACGC